This 119-nucleotide ribosomal RNA is filed under the name Helianthus annuus (common sunflower). Lineage: Eukaryota; Viridiplantae; Streptophyta; Magnoliopsida; Asterales; Asteraceae. The record is from RNAcentral.
GGUUGCGAUCAUACCAGCACUAAUGCACCGGAUCCCAUCAGAACUCCGCAGUUAAGCGUGCUUGGGCGAGAGUAGUACUGGGAUGGGUGACCCCCUGGGAAGUCCUCGUGUUGCAACCC